Molecule: transfer RNA, 58 nt
Filed under: Dipodomys ordii (Ord's kangaroo rat)
Lineage: Eukaryota; Metazoa; Chordata; Mammalia; Rodentia; Heteromyidae
Rfam family: tRNA
About the family: Transfer RNA (tRNA) molecules are approximately 80 nucleotides in length.
Source: Rfam by way of RNAcentral
UGGCUCAGUGAUAGAGCGCUUGCCUUGCACGCAUGAGGCCCUGGGUUCGAUUCCUCAG